CGAGAUCAGCCUCGGUCUCGUGGGCUCGGAGAUGUGUAUAAGAGACAGCCUUUAAAGAGUGCGUAAUAGCUCACUGGUCGAGUCGGUUUGCGCGGAAGAUUUAACGGGGCUAAACUAUAUACCGAAGCUGCGGAUCGCAAUUUAUUGCGAUGGUAGGAGAGCGUUCUGUAAGCCGUUGAAGGUGAACUGUGAGGUUUGCUGGAGGUAUCAGAAGUGCGAAUGCUGACAUGAGUAACGAUAAAGGGGGUGAAAAACCCCCUCGCCAGAAGUCCAAGGUUUCCUACGCAACGUUAAUCGGCGUAGGGUUAGUCGGCCCCUAAGGCGAGGCAGAAAUGCGUAGUCGAUGGGAAACGGGUUAAUAUUCCCGUACUUCAUAUAACUGCGAUGGGAAGACGGAGUAGGUUAGCUCAGCAAGGCGAUGGUUGUCCUUGUUCAAGCGUGUAGAAAUGGUUCUUAGGAAAAUCCGGGAACCUCUAUUUCAAGGCGUGAUAACGAGCCCUCUUUUGGGCGAAGUGAGUGAGACCAUGCUUCCAGGAAAAUCCUCUAAGCUUCAGGUUAUAUGAAACCGUACCCCAAACCGACACAGGUGGACGAGAUGAGAAUUCUAAGGCGCUUGAGAGAACUCGGGUGAAGGAACUAGGCAAAAUGACACCGUAACUUCGGGAGAAGGUGUGCUCUUGUUAUGUGAUAUCACUUGCUGAUUGAGCAAAGAAGAGCUGAAAAAACUAGGUGGCUGCGACUGUUUAUUAAAAACACAGCACUCUGCAAACACGUAAGUGGACGUAUAGGGUGUGACUCCUGCCCGGUGCUUGAAGGUUAAUUGAUGAGGUUAGCGCUUGCGCGAAGCUUUUGAUCGAAGCCCAAGUAAACGGCGGCCGUAACUAUAACGGUCCUAAGGUAGCGAAAUUCCUUGUCGGGUAAGUUCCGACCUGCACGAAUGGAGUAACGACGGCCACACUGUCUCCACCCGAGACUCAGUGAAAUUGAAAUUGCUGUUAAGAUGCAGUAUACCCGCGGCCAGACGGAAAGACCCCGUGCACCUUUACUACAGCUUUGCAUUGAACUCUGAUCCUACUUGUGUAGGAUAGGUGGGAGGCUUUGAAGCUUUAACGCUAGUUAGAGUGGAGCCACCCUUGAAAUACCACCCUGGUAUGGUUGGGGUUCUAACCUUGGUCCGUAAUCCGGAUCGGGGACAAUGCAUGGUGGGUAGUUUGACUGGGGCGGUCUCCUCCUAAAGAGUAACGGAGGAGCGCAAAGGUAUCCUCAGCACGGUCGGACAUCGUGCAAUGAGCGCAAAGGUAAAAGGAUGCUUGACUGCGAGACUGACACGUCGAGCAGGUAGGAAACUAGGUCUUAGUGAUCCGGUGGUUCUGAGUGGAAGGACCAUCGCUCAACGGAUAAAAGGUACGCCGGGGAUAACAGGCUGAUACCCCCCAAGAGUUCACAUCGACGGGGGUGUUUGGCACCUCGAUGUCGGCUCAUCACAUCCUGGGGCUGAAGCAGGUCCCAAGGGUAUGGCUGUUCGCCAUUUAAAGUGGUACGCGAGCUGGGUUUAGAACGUCGUGAGACAGUUCGGUCCCUAUCUGCCGUGGACGUUUGAGAUUUGAGAAGAGUUGCUCCUAGUACGAGAGGACCGGAGUGAACGAACCUCUGGUGUUCCGGUUGUCACGCCAGUGGCAUUGCCGGGUAGCUACGUUCGGACAGGAUAACCGCUGAAAGCAUCUAAGCGGGAAGCCCCCUUCAAGAUGAGAUCUCACAGGACUUUAAGUCCCUAAAGAGCCGUUCAAGACUAGGACGUUGAUAGGUUGGGUGUGUAAGCACGGUAACGUGUUGAGCUAACCAAUACUAAUUGCUCGUGAGGCUUGACC
This 1868-nucleotide ribosomal RNA is filed under the name seawater metagenome. RNAcentral describes it as "bacterial LSU rRNA". It matches the Rfam family "Bacterial large subunit ribosomal RNA", at positions 1071 to 2925 of the family's 2925-position model. The record is from RNAcentral.